Molecule: ribosomal RNA, 484 nt
Filed under: uncultured bacterium
Lineage: Bacteria
Description: bacterial SSU rRNA
Rfam family: Bacterial small subunit ribosomal RNA
Source: RNAcentral
AUUGAACGCUGGCGGAAUGCUUUACACAUGCAAGUCGAACGGCAGCACGGGGGCAACCCUGGUGGCGAGUGGCGAACGGGUGAGUAAUACAUCGGAACGUGCCCAGUCGUGGGGGAUAACGUAGCGAAAGCUACGCUAAUACCGCAUACGAUCUACGGAUGAAAGCGGGGGAUCGCAAGACCUCGCGCGAUUGGAGCGGCCGAUGGCAGAUUAGGUAGUUGGUGGGGUAAAGGCUCACCAAGCCUUCGAUCUGUAGCUGGUCUGAGAGGACGACCAGCCACACUGGGACUGAGACACGGCCCAGACUCCUACGGGAGGCAGCAGUGGGGAAUCUUAGACAAUGGGCGAAAGCCUGAUCCAGCCAUGCCGCGUGAGUGAAGAAGGCCUUCGGGUUGUAAAGCUCUUUCAGCCGGAAAGAAAUCGCGCAGGAUAAUACUCUGCGUGGAUGACGGUACCGGAAGAAGAAGCACCGGCUAACUACGUG